GUGCCAGCCGCCGCGGUAAUACCGGCAGCCCGAGUGAUGGCCGAUCUUAUUGGGCCUAAAGCGUCCGUAGCUGGCUGCGCAAGUCCGUCGGGAAAUCCACUCGCUUAACGAGUGGGCGUCCGGCGGAAACUGAUCGGCUUGGGACCGGAAGACCCGAGGGGUACGUCCGGGGUAGGAGUGAAAUCCUGUAAUCCUGGACGGACCGUCGGUGGCGAAAGCGCCUCGGGAAGACGGAUCCGACGGUGAGGGACGAAAGCUAGGGUCUCGAACCGGAUUAGAAACCCGAGUAGUCC
This 293-nucleotide ribosomal RNA is filed under the name uncultured bacterium. RNAcentral describes it as "partial 16S ribosomal RNA". It matches the Rfam family "Archaeal small subunit ribosomal RNA", at positions 455 to 747 of the family's 1478-position model. The record is from RNAcentral.